Molecule: ribosomal RNA, 822 nt
Filed under: Triticum aestivum (bread wheat)
Lineage: Eukaryota; Viridiplantae; Streptophyta; Magnoliopsida; Poales; Poaceae
Description: partial small subunit ribosomal RNA
Source: RNAcentral
UGGUUCUCCAAAUACCUCUUGAGAAUUGGCAAUGGAAUGGAGGAGACGAUCGGUGAUGAUUAUGUGCGUCUGCCUGAUGACAUUGUGAUAGGUUACACACCUGGUGAUGCACCAGUCAUGAAGUUUAUUGAACAUGUGUUCCCAUCUCUUCAUGAGAAUGCAUCAUCCGGUGCCUACAUGAGCACAUGUGCUAUUCUUUCUACCAAGAAUGAGCACGUGGACGACGUAAAUGCAAAGAUGAUCGACAGAUUUCCCGGCCAACAAAAGGUAUACUACAGCUUUGAUUCAAUUGAUGAUGAUACACACAAUAACUACCCAAUUGACUAUCUGAACAACCUCACUCCGAAUGGCUUGCCUCCCGAUAUUUUAAAAGUUAAAGUCAAUUGUCCUGUCAUUCUACUCCAAAAUCUCGAUCCUAAUAAUGGACUUUGCAAUGGAACGAGAUUGAUGAUUAGAGCUUUCCAAAAUAAUACAAUCGAUGCCGAGAUUGUUGGUGGACAACAUGCUGGAAAGAGAGUGUUCAUCCCUAGGAUCCCGAUGGCACCCUCGGAGGAUAUUUCACUUCCUUUCAAGUUGAAGAGUAAGCAAUUCCCUAUUCGUCUGAGUUUUGCAAUGACCAUAAACAAAGCUCAGGGGCAAACCCUCCCAACUGUUGGCAUUUACCUUUCGGAUCCUGUAUUCUCACACGACCAGCUUUAUCUUGCACUGUCAAGGGGUGUUUCAAGGCGGACAACUCGGGUUCUGGCAAAGCCAAAUAAAGAAAUAGAUCAGACGGGUAAAAGCACCAAGAACAUUGUGUACAGAGAUGUAUUGGAGGGAUAA